CAAAAUAUAGUUUAUUAAAAUAAUAACUUUGGAAGUUAUAGAUCAAUCACAAAUUGUUUUUUGA
Molecule: transfer RNA, 64 nt
Filed under: Pelagomacellicephala iliffei
Lineage: Eukaryota; Metazoa; Annelida; Polychaeta; Phyllodocida; Polynoidae
Description: tRNA-Pro
Source: RNAcentral